CAGAAUUGUAGUUUAAACAAAAUAUUAGUAUUGGAAACUAAAGACUAGGUAAUUAAUCCUACAUUCUGA
RNAcentral lists this transfer RNA (69 nucleotides) under Euspira gilva. RNAcentral describes it as "tRNA-Pro". Lineage: Eukaryota; Metazoa; Mollusca; Gastropoda; Littorinimorpha; Naticidae. The record is from RNAcentral.